This 4351-nucleotide unclassified non-coding RNA is filed under the name Hevea brasiliensis (rubber tree). The record is from RNAcentral. Lineage: Eukaryota; Viridiplantae; Streptophyta; Magnoliopsida; Malpighiales; Euphorbiaceae.
GCAGGUGCAUAUCGAGCGCCCUUCCGUUUUGUCAGUGCAUAUCUACUUUCAACGAUAUCUGGAGUCACAUUCUCAGGAUUUGCAUAGACAUGAGACUUGUACUGAGAUUGAAUUGCCUUCUCAUUGCUGACAAGCAUGUUAUACACUAUCCAACCCACACCAGGAGCUUUUAAGGUGCCCCUAAGCAUUGCAUACCUGUCAAGUUCAAGAGAAGUGGACAAAUUAGAUCAGUUUAAUCUGAUUCAUUAAGCAACACAGAUAUAAAUCAUUCAUUUUCAAUGUAUAGUUCAGUAAAUCUGAUAAAAAAAUAUAAACAAAUUACCAAGAACAGAAUGACAACUUCUAUUGAUGAAAGCUAUGAGCAUGACAAAUAUGUAAAUCAAAGGGAGGAUCCAUGAAAGUCGUUCAGUUACUAUAAUCGAAAAGCUGCCCAGUCAGUAAAAAUAUUAACCACAGGACAUAAAAAUCCAGAAGUUACUAUUGAAUGAAUAACAAGCAGAUCCACCCCUUUUGUAAUUUAAUUGAUUGUAGAGUUAAAUUGACAGCAGGUGAACUCUGUAUCACAUAUGGUUCCCCUAUCUAUAUUAGUCAAUCCUCAAAGCAAACAAAGAUAGCCAUGAUAGUAUGAAUAACGAUGUACUUCUCCUGUUGCAAUCCCAGUUAAAUUGAGUUUUCACCUGUAUGUUUUACUUGUGUAUAUUGAUAAAGCGAGUUGUUCUUCUCCAACAAGAUGGUACUAAAAUUCAUAAAUACAUUGUUUCCAUGCUGGAAUCUCGACCAAACACAAUAGGAACAGGACCAGCCCAGGUUGGUGCAACAACAGCAAUGACAGUUGGCUUAACCAAUACAAAGUAAUAUUGUGGCAGCAUGCCCUGCACCAAAGACCACCAAAUCUAUUUCUGGAUAUGCCAUGACCAUUGUGACAUAGAUGAAGUAUGGGUAACAGAGAAGAUGACGCAUGAGGUUCUACAGCCAUAAUUCAACUCCAUGCUUUGCCCUGUAGCCAAUUUUUCACUAGUUCCAUCUUUUAUUUGAUUUUGUGAACAAGUCCAAAUCUAAAUAGAAUUGGGGAGCUUUGAAAAAAGAAUAAGUAUGAUUUGAUUGAUAUUAGCACCUUAUCAACACUUGAAACACCUGAAAAGGAAUAAAGUACCCUACUGAAAAAAUACACAGCACAACAAAAAAGAAAUUCUCAUAAAAACAGAAAAAUUGACCCAGCAUACCAUUGUGCUUCUGCAGUAAAUUAUUUCAGCUGCCACUGGAGUUCCUAGCUAUCUUAUACUUGAAACUUGCAGUAAAUGCUUGAAUUUCAUCAGAACUCUUAAGAAAGUUACACUUCCCAUUCCCAAUCAAGAACAUGAUUUGUGAGCCCUUUCAUCAAUCAAACUAAGACCCUCUUGGAAGAUUUUUUUUUCUUUUGUAGUUUCUUAUCUCUAAUACCAUCAUAAAGAAGUUCGUAUGCAUGAUAUGUUAUAUGACUUUUCUUCAACAAGUCUUCCAAGAUAAUCUUAGGUGCUGCAAUCGCCUUUUUAUCAGCCUCAAAGAUAGCAUCCACAGCCUCAGGGACAAUUCCAUUGUGCAGCAUAAGACGAAUAACACCAACUGCUUCAUGAACUCUAUGCUGCACACAAAAACAGUUUAUUACCCGUCCAAAUGUUGUCAGUGAUGGAAUGAACCCUUUCUCAAUCUUUUCCAGGAGAAAAUUAUAUCCAGAAUCAACAUUUCCUAUUUUACAGAACCCAUCAAUCAUGACACGAUAACUAUAACUGUCUGGGGCACAGUCUUUAUCCCCCAUCUCACGAAAAAGCUUUUCUGCCAUAUGCAUAUCUAGCUUUUCAGAAAAGGCAUUAAUCAUGAUAUUGUAGGUCACUACAGUGUAACAAACCUUAUAUUGUUGUUCCAUUUUUCUAAAGAGCUGGUAGGCUCCAUCCAAAUCCCCAUUAUUGGAAAAACCACUUAUCACUGUGCCAAAACUAACAGUAUCAGGGGUCAGUCCCUUGUUUCUUAUUUCUUCCAGUAAGUCCAGAGCCUCAUGCACCUUCCGAGCUUUACACAGGCUCUCUAUAAGUAUAUUAUAUGUGAUAAUGUUGGGAACACACCCUUUUUCCAUCAUCAUUUUGAAGGUUUCCAUUACAUCUUCAGAUUUCGCAGCCUUGCAAAGACCAUUCAAUACAGAGUUAUAUGUGAUCACAUCAGGAGUGACACCAUGGACCAACAUGCUAUUUAGGAUCUCAAUUGCAUUUUCCAACUUCAACUGUUUACAGUAACCAUCAAUCAAAGUAUUGAAUGUAAAAAUGUCUGGGAUAUACCCUUUGGCAAUGGCAUAAUUCAUUAGGUUAUUGGCAUCAGAGACAACACCCAUCUUGCAUAAACCAUUUAUAACUAUAUUGUAACUCCAUAUAUCUGGGCUGCUACCUUUUUCUGACAUGUCAUUCAUCAGCUGCAAUGCUUCCAAAAUAAGUCCUUGCUGAGAUAACCCUUUAAUCAGUGUGUUAUACAGAAGAAUGUUAGACUUUAAUCCUUUCCCCAUAGCCUCAUUGAAAAGAGCCAGGGCAUGGUCUAUGUCACCAUCCUGGCAUAACCCAUUAAUUAGUGAGCAAUACGUGAACUCAUCAAGCACAAAUCCUUUGAAAAUUGCAUCAUUCAGAAUCUUGUCAGCUUCUCGUGUCAUGCCCAUUUUGCAAUAUCCAUCAAUUAUAGUAUUGUAAGUGAAGCCAUCAGGCUCCAACCCCUUAUUCACCAUUUUAUGCAGAUAUUUCACAGCUUCUACAACCUUAGAGUUCUUGCACAAUCCACAGAUUAACGUGUUGUAUGUGACAACAUCAGGACUUAGGCCUUCCCUGGUCAUGCUAUCCAACAAACUGAUUGCCCCAUCAAGGGCACCUUUUCUGCAAAGCCCUUGGAUGAAGAUAUUAAAUGUAAACAAAUUUGGGCAUGCUCCCUUCUUCAGCACUUUGUUGAGCAGUUUUUCACUUUCUUGGACAUGACCCUUCUUACAAAGAAUAUGCAAAAGCUUAUUAAAUGUAGCAAUAUCAGGAAAAAUACCCAAACUAAGCAUCAUAUUAAACAAUUCAUAUGCCUCAACUUGAUAGUUUUCUUCAUAAAACCCACCAAUCACUGUACAAUAUACAACUGCAUUGGGCUCACACCCUUGAGAAGGCAUGUUGUUAAGAAGCCGUAAAGCUACAUGAGGCCUUUUUGUCCUACAAAAUGACUUUAUCCUUACUGUAAAUGUGUAAACAUCAGGAACAAUUCCUUCAUCUUUCAUUCUCAAAUACACUUUAUGAGCUUGAUUGAAAUACCCAUGCUCAACCAAUAAGUUCAUGGUUGCAUUAUAAGAUAAAACCGUUGGCUCACAGUUAUAGAAGUCCAUCCUCUCAAACACAUCAACAGCUUCUUGAACCUUCCCUUUCCUUCCAUAGCUUCUCAUGGCUACAAUAUACACUCCUUCCAACAAACUAUUAUCGACAUUCAUCCUAAUCUCCUUAAGCACAUUCUCCAUAGCCUCAAAUUCACCAUGAAACCCAAGCUUUUCAAUCAUGUACUUAUAUGUUAACAACGUGUGCUUGAAACCAACUUCUUUCUUAACAGAAUUGAAAAUCGCAAGUGCUUUGAGGGGGUCCUUUUGGUAUUUUAGGACAGCAGCUACAUGUUUAGGAAGCAAAGUAGGAUUCAUCCCAAUAAUUAUAAAAGCUAAUUGAUUUUUACAUCAAAAUCCAUCGCCCAAGUUGAUUUUAAACCAAUGUAACCUUGUUUUUUUCCGCCCCAAGCUUCAAUUAUCUUACAAAUAACCAAUUAAACCAAUCACUCAGGCCACUUGAAUAGCUAACAAUUUAUCAAGGUAAACCCUAUUUUGCCUUGAAAACAAUAAAAAAAAAAAAAAGGAAGCAUGACCUCCAAAAUUUUCUUAGUAGCCAAACGGGGAAACAAAACCAAUCAUUACAGUAAUCGUGAAAUGAUUAGAAAAGAUAUCGACUGUCGGAAAUAAAUUACCCGUAAUGUGAAAAAAGAGACGGCACUGCCAUUCCGCAUUAACACCCAAAGCCUUAUUACAAGCUAUCAAAAAAGAAGCAUUCACAAAACAAAAGGAUCACGAACCGAGUCAUUCCGUAUCCCAAUUUGCAUAGCUUUGAAAAACGAGAUGAUACUAAAAGGGUUAGUUUCUAAAUCAAAUUGGCGGAGCAUAGCACGCCAAGCAGACAUAAUCCAAAAGGAUUUCUAAAGGAUGCUCAUUUGAUCACCCAACGGAUCACAGAAGUCUAUAUCUGAGGAAAUAUAGGUUACUAUGGUGCGAAGGUAAGGUAUGGUUCCAUGUGAGAAGGAAGGUGGAAUUAGCGGCAGAGGGUUGAGG